GAGAUUGAGCAUCUCCAGCUGUUGUUGGAGAAGACCAAGGUGAAGAUCCAGAGGGACUUCAGGCAGUGGUGGAGCCACUGGGGGGCGCCGCAUGUGGAGGAACCAAAGUCUGAGGCCACAGCUGCUCGUCAUCACACCGUGUCACCACCGGGGGCGUUAGAGCCGUGUUCGCCCAUCACUCCAGGAAUAAAGGGCUUCAGUCCUAAAGACGUUCCUCCCAUCACUCCUCA
This is a long non-coding RNA of Cynoglossus semilaevis (tongue sole), 230 nucleotides long. RefSeq lists it as uncharacterized. NCBI's taxonomy places the organism in Eukaryota, Metazoa, Chordata, Actinopteri, Pleuronectiformes, Cynoglossidae. The record is from RefSeq and is a predicted model, not a curated record. The transcript is spliced from 3 exons.